This 460-nucleotide ribosomal RNA is filed under the name uncultured bacterium. RNAcentral describes it as "partial 16S ribosomal RNA". It matches the Rfam family "Bacterial small subunit ribosomal RNA", at positions 338 to 795 of the family's 1533-position model. The record is from RNAcentral.
CCUACGGGAGGCAGCAGUGAGGAAUAUUGGUCAAUGGGCGCGAGCCUGAACCAGCCAAGUAGCGUGAAGGAUGACUGCCCUACGGGUUGUAAACUUCUUUUAUAAAGGAAUAAAGUGAGGCACGUGUGCCUUUUUGUAUGUACUUUAUGAAUAAGGAUCGGCUAACUCCGUGCCAGCAGCCGCGGUAAUACGGAGGAUCCGAGCGUUAUCCGGAUUUAGUGGGUUUAAAGGGAGCGUAGAAGGGUUUGUAAGUCAGUUGUGAAAGUGUGCGGCUCAACCGUAAAAUUGCAAUUGAUACUGGCAGGCUUGAGUACAGUUGAGGGAGGCGGAAUUCGUGGUGUAGCGGUGAAAUGCUUAGAGAUCACGAAGAACUCCGAUUGCGAAGGCAGCUUACUAAACUGCCACUGACAUUGAUGCCCGAAAGUGUGGGUAUCAAACAGGAUUAGAUACCCGUGUAGUC